UACGUAGGGUGCAAGCGUUAAUCGGAAUUACUGGGCGUAAAGCGUGCGCAGGCGGCUUUGCAAGACAGAUGUGAAGUCCCCGGGCUCAACCCCGGAACUGCCUUUGAAACUAGAUUGCUAGAAUCCUGGAGAGGUUAGUGGAAUUCCGAGUGUAGAGGUGAAAUUCGUAGAUAUUCGGAAGAACACCAGUGGCGAAGGCGACUAACUGGACAGGUAUUGACGCUGAGGUGCGAAAGCGUGGGGAGCAAACAGG
Molecule: ribosomal RNA, 253 nt
Filed under: uncultured bacterium
Lineage: Bacteria
Description: partial 16S ribosomal RNA
Rfam family: Bacterial small subunit ribosomal RNA
Source: RNAcentral